Molecule: ribosomal RNA, 253 nt
Filed under: uncultured bacterium
Lineage: Bacteria
Description: partial 16S ribosomal RNA
Rfam family: Bacterial small subunit ribosomal RNA
Source: RNAcentral
UACGUAGGGGGCAAGCGUUGUCCGGAAUCAUUGGGCGUAAAGAGCGCGUAGGCGGCCCUGUAAGUCCGCUGUGAAAGUCAAGGGCUCAACCCUCGGAUGCCGGUGGAUACUGUCGGGCUUGAGUACGGAAGAGGCGAGUGGAAUUCCUGGUGUAGCGGUGAAAUGCGCAGAUAUCAGGAGGAACACCAAUUGCGAAGGCAGCUCGCUGGGACGUUACUGACGCUGAGACGCGAAAGCGUGGGGAGCAAACAGG